RNAcentral lists this long non-coding RNA (2706 nucleotides) under Lupinus angustifolius (narrow-leaved blue lupine). RNAcentral describes it as "long non-coding RNA (LANG_LNC001478)". The record is from RNAcentral. Lineage: Eukaryota; Viridiplantae; Streptophyta; Magnoliopsida; Fabales; Fabaceae.
GAGUACUGGUUUGACGGAUUUUGGGGUGGGGUCGGAUGCGCAUGCCUCUGAGUAAAUUGAGGGUUACUUAGCUGAAAUUGAUGAUUAGGUUGGGGAAAUUGAGCAUUCAGAUACAUAUGCUGCCCGUAUGCUAACUGCCUUGAAGGGUUAAGACUAGAAGGUUCCUGUGAGCUGCACCCUGCAGCUGCGACAAAAGCAGAAGGCUGUGGAACUUCAUUUGUGACAACUGCAUUAUUGUGACCUCCAGAAAAUGAAUUUCCAGCCAUUUGAGCUACUUGGUUACCCUGUAUAAAGGACUGAGUUUAUCAAUAUAUCAGUCAAACAAAUCCAUAGAAACCAGUGAUAUUUAAUAGCAAAGCAGCCUUACGCUAGUUGUGCCACUAUAGUUAGGAGGUACAUUCUGCUGAUAUCCCAACUGAUGUGAUGACUGUGGUGGCAUUAAUGAUUGUGAGACAAGUGAAGACCGAGCAGGUCCAGAUGAUUGGAGAACCAAUGACAGUGGAGGGCCUGAGGGUGGUAAAGGAGGAGGUGGGGGUUGCAACAGUGGGGGAGGUGGAGGCGGAGGAGAUGGAGAUAAUGGAAGAGAUGGUGGAGGUGAAGAAGGCAAAGGUGGGAGUGGAGGGGGUGAAUCAAGCGGCAAUGGUGGAGAACCAUUCAGAGUAGGUGAUAUCUCUACUGAAAUAUUUGAAGUUGGAUUCGGAUGCCUACAAGAUCCCUGACGCUGCAAAUCAAUUUCAUCUGAACUAUUAAAAAGUGCAGGCCUUUCAUCUUUCGGGUGACCUGAAACAUCUUCCAUUUCUAGCUCACCAUCCACAUCCUCCAAGAUACAGUGACGCUUAUCACUUGGGGUAACAGUUGAAGUUUCUGAUUCUCCAAGGGUAGGCGUGGGAUCUGCAGGAGAUGCACCAUCUGUAUCCUUACAUGAAUUGAUUGGUAAUUCAUCUUCAUCUUCAUCUUCUUCAAAUGCAUGACAAAAGAAGCCAGGCAGCUGAAAUGUAGCAUUACUGGUAUACAACAUCAAGGAAACAUGAAUCAGAAAUAAAAAUUACUUUCUAAAACAGUUAGAAUGGUACUAGAACAUGAAACACCAAACAGAAAUUAGAGCAUGAUGUAGUUAAUAAACAGUCCAACCUAGUAAAAAUGGCAAAUGCAAAGCAUAAAAAAUUCCAUUUGAUAAUUAUAAAAGUAUUCUAUUCCAUUUUGUGGUAGUAUCUGCUACCUCAUUUACAGAUUCAGACUUUACUAUAUCUCCUGGGUUUAAGAAAGAUAAGCUAAUUGUACAGCAACAACAAUGACUGGUGAGCUAAUUGUAUAACGAUGAUCAGGGACUCUUGAAAGCGAAAACAGUAAGAAUAAAAACAAAAAUUCUGGAGCAACCAAUCUGAAAAAUUGAUGCAACAAACCUUCCAUACUCAUCAACAAGCAUGCCUUCCAUUUCUCUAAUUGGGUCAUCCACAGCCCGCUCUGCUCGAGAUGGGCGCCUGAAAGAAAGGCUAAUUGUUGAAAAGCAAUCCUCCCAUAACAUGACUAAAAAGCUUACUUCACUAAUACAAGACUCCAAUCAUCUUCAACUGGGUCUCCAACAAUUAAGAGCAGAAAUGUCUGAUCUACUAGGCAACAUCUGAGGAACACCAUGUCCUGAAAAAGGAAAUGAGUAUGAUUCAUACCAUAUAUGUAGUUUGUUAACAAGUGGAAGCUCAAUGGGAGGGGGCAGGCAUAUAUAAGGGAGAACUAGAAAAAUUAACCAGUAUAAUAAAAAUAGUUGUCACCUGCUACUGGAGGAACAGCUGGUACAUUGUUUGAAAUUACACGCUGAAAACUUGCAUUGCUUACUGAUGGUCUUUCAACUGGUGGCUUAAAAUUACCUUCAUCACCAGAAAUAUAUAUCAUGUAUAACAUUCAGAAUACUCUUGCAAACAACAUUAAGUGCCAGUAACACCUCUGCAACUAGAGAGCAACUACUCAUAUGACCAACAGAAAUAACAAACAGUAAAAUUAAAAAAAUACGGAUGGACAAGAACCUCAAUAGUAAGCUGAUAAGUACAAGAAUGAGAUACAUACAAUAAAUAGUCUAACAUAACCCAUAUUUACCAGAACAACCAUUUGGAAUGGUAAACAAAAUAGAUUCGCAUACCUUCUUGCCCAAAGGGUUGACCAGGGCAUGAAGGAUUUCUCCCGAUCCAAACACCAUGUUGAUUGUUUGUUUUACAUUCAUUCGAUGACAUUCUCCGUUGUUCAUCAGGAGCAAAUUGUCUCAUUCCAUCUGGAAGGGGUGGCAAAGAGAAGGGAGAAUGGAAUGAAUGAGGAAGAUGUUGCUGAACUGUAGGGUUUGGGUAUGAGUACUGGUUUGACGGAUUUUGGGGUGGGGUCGGAUGCGCAUGCCUCUGAGUAAAUUGAGGGUUACUUAGCUGAAAUUGAUGAUUAGGUUGGGGAAAUUGAGCAUUCAGAUACAUAUGCUGCCCGUAUGCUAACUGCCUUGAAGGGUUAAGACUAGAAGGUUCCUGUGAGCUGCACCCUGCAGCUGCGACAAAAGCAGAAGGCUGUGGAACUUCAUUUGUGACAACUGCAUUAUUGUGACCUCCAGAAAAUGAAUUUCCAGCCAUUUGAGCUACUUGGUUACCCUGUAUAAAGGACUGAGUUUAUCAAUAUAUCAGUCAAACAAAUCCAUAGAAACCAGUGAUAUUUAAUAGCAAAGCAGCCUUACGC